UACGGAGGGGACUAGCGUUGUUCGGAAUUACUGGGCGUAAAGCGCACGUAGGCGGAUCUGUAAGUCAGGGGUGAAAUCCCGGGGCUCAACCUCGGAACUGCCUUUGAUACUGCAAAUCUCGAGUCCGGAAGAGGUGAGUGGAAUUCCUAGUGUAGAGGUGAAAUUCGUAGAUAUUAGGAAGAACACCAGUGGCGAAGGCGGCUCACUGGUCCGGUACUGACGCUGAGGUGCGAAAGCGUGGGGAGCGAACAGG
RNAcentral lists this ribosomal RNA (253 nucleotides) under uncultured bacterium. RNAcentral's name for it is "partial 16S ribosomal RNA". It matches the Rfam family "Bacterial small subunit ribosomal RNA", at positions 524 to 776 of the family's 1533-position model. The record is from RNAcentral.